This 338-nucleotide unclassified non-coding RNA is filed under the name soil metagenome. Its description in RNAcentral is "partial contains 5.8S ribosomal RNA, internal transcribed spacer 2, and large subunit ribosomal RNA". The stretch from base 1 to 120 matches the Rfam family "5.8S ribosomal RNA", at positions 35 to 154 of the family's 154-position model. The record is from RNAcentral.
GAUGAAGAACGUAGCGAAAUGCGAUAAGUAGUGUGAAUUGCAGAAUUCAGUGAAUCAUCGAAUCUUUGAACGCACAUUGCGCCCUUUGGUAUUCCAAAGGGCAUGCCUGUUCGAGCGUCAUUUGUACCCUCAAGCUUUGCUUGGUGUUGGGCGUCUUGUCUCCAGUUCGCUGGAGACUCGCCUUAAAGUAAUUGGCAGCCGGCCUACUGGUUUCGGAGCGCAGCACAAGUCGCGCUCUCUUCCAGCCAAGGUCAGCAUCCACAAAGCCUUUUUUCAACUUUUGACCUCGGAUCAGGUAGGGAUGCCCGCUGAACUUAAGCAUAUCAAUAAGCGGAGGA